AUGUAAAUUCUUACAACAUAGUGUUAAUGCAUCAGAUUCUAUUAGAACUCUACAGUUAAGCAUGAUCAGGAUAGAGUAGUACUGGGAUGGGUGACCUCAUGGGAAGUACUAGUGUUUUACAUG
This is a non-coding RNA of Picea glauca (white spruce), 123 nucleotides long. The record is from Rfam. NCBI's taxonomy places the organism in Eukaryota, Viridiplantae, Streptophyta, Pinopsida, Pinales, Pinaceae.